This 468-nucleotide ribosomal RNA is filed under the name uncultured bacterium. Its description in RNAcentral is "partial 16S ribosomal RNA". It matches the Rfam family "Bacterial small subunit ribosomal RNA", at positions 28 to 507 of the family's 1533-position model. The record is from RNAcentral.
GACGAACGCUGGCGGCGUGCUUAACACAUGCAAGUCGAACGGAAAGGCCCUGCUUUUGUGGGGUGCUCGAGUGGCGAACGGGUGAGUAACACGUGAGUAACCUGCCCAUGACUUUGGGAUGACUUCAGGAAACUGGGGCUAAUACCGGAUAGGAACUCCUGCGGCAUGGUGGGGGCUGGAAAGUUUCGGCGGUUGGGGAUGGACUCGCGGCUUAUCAGCUUGUUGGUGGGGAAGUGGCUUACCAAGGCUUUGACGGGUAGCCGGCCUGGGAGGGUGGCCGGCCACAUUGGGCCUGAGAUACGGCCCAGACUCCUACGGGAGGCAGCAGUGGGGAAUAUUGCACAAUGGGCGGAAGCCUGAUGCAGCAACGCCGCGUGCGGGAUGACGGCCUUCGGGUUGUAAACCGCUUUCGCCUGUGACGAAGCGUGAGUGACGGUAAUGGGUAAAGAAGCACCGGCUAACUACGUG